This 171-nucleotide ribosomal RNA is filed under the name uncultured bacterium. RNAcentral's name for it is "partial 16S ribosomal RNA". It matches the Rfam family "Bacterial small subunit ribosomal RNA", at positions 337 to 525 of the family's 1533-position model. The record is from RNAcentral.
UCCUACGGGAGGCAGCAGUGGGGAAUUUUGCGCAAUGGGGGAAACCCUGACGCAGCAACGCCGCGUGGAGGAUGAAAUAUCUUGGUAUGUAAACUCCUUUCGAUGGGGAAGAUUAUGACGGUACCCAUAGAAGAAGCCCCGGCUAACUUCGUGCCAGCACCCGCGGUAAUA